This 262-nucleotide ribosomal RNA is filed under the name uncultured bacterium. Its description in RNAcentral is "partial 16S ribosomal RNA". It matches the Rfam family "Bacterial small subunit ribosomal RNA", at positions 793 to 1055 of the family's 1533-position model. The record is from RNAcentral.
GUCCACGCCGUAAACGUUGGGCACUAGGUGUGGGGACCUAUCGACGGUUUCCGUGCCGCAGCUAACGCAUUAAGUGCCCCGCCUGGGGAGUACGGCCGCAAGGCUAAAACUCAAAGGAAUUGACGGGGGCCCGCACAAGCAGCGGAGCAUGUUGCUUAAUUCGAGGCAACGCGAAGAACCUUACCUGGGCUUGACAUGUAGGGAAAAGCCGUAGAGAUACGGUGUCCUUUUGGGCCCUACACAGGUGGUGCAUGGCUGUCGU